AUGAGAGUCUGGAUUUUAAACAUUCCCAUUUUUCAGAGUUGUUUGUAUUUGGACAGUGGUUUCUGACCUUUUUUGAUUUUCCCAUAUAGGAAUAUACUGUCCAUUGAUUCAUGAGGAAAAGGAGCAGUAACAAGCAGCUUAACUGAGAGACCAGUGACAGAGAGUGACCAGUGUAAUGUACCAGGCUGAGAUUUUAAAGAUUGAGAGAAGCAUCUUGGCAUCUGCUGAAGUCCUCCUCUUGGGCUGUGACCUCUUUUCUGUCCCAAACAUCAUCACAGCCUUUCCUUGAGCGUUUUCCCUGUACAAACCUGCAAGAGAGCCUCUCUAACAUGGUAAGCUUCAAGUGUAAAUGGGAAAAAUGCUGAUUUCAGGCUCAUGUGUGCACCAAGCUGGUUAUGGAGAGACACAUUAACCCCAACUCGUGCAUGCAGAAAGGAUGUGUGUCAUCUCUCCAGGUGUAAAGAGAACUUUAAUAGAGCAUCCAAGGGGAGAAAGGAAGGCAAAGCAGGCUUAACAGUGGAAGAGCUUGAGUUUUAUUUCAGAACCGUGGAGGAAAAGGAAACACUCUUUAGUGUUUGA
Long non-coding RNA from Cyanistes caeruleus (blue tit), 579 nucleotides. The record is from Ensembl. NCBI's taxonomy places the organism in Eukaryota, Metazoa, Chordata, Aves, Passeriformes, Paridae.